This is a long non-coding RNA of Gymnodraco acuticeps, 557 nucleotides long. RefSeq lists it as uncharacterized. The transcript has 5 exons. Lineage: Eukaryota; Metazoa; Chordata; Actinopteri; Perciformes; Bathydraconidae. The record is from RefSeq and is a predicted model, not a curated record.
GUGUUGGAUGAGUUGGAUGAGAAUGGCUUCGUGUGCAGGUGGAGUCGCCGGACCUCGGUCCCCGCCCAAUUCCGUUCAAGAGCUAAUCUCCAAUCCUUUCGAAAGGAGAAGUUUGGGUCAUUUUGUUCGGGGACAGAACUCAGCUAACAUCUCACAGUUUACCGAAGGUCAACUUUGACAACUAUGAAGCUGUCCUGUCCUUUGUACUUGUCAACAACAACCACUGGAAGUUGCUGUACAUUCAUGCCAAAACCAGCACCGUAUUCCUGGUGGAUCCAGCUCAAAGCAUCAAAGAGCUUGAUGACUCCGAACAUGCUGCCAAAAGAAUACAGGAGCACUUCAGGAUGAGGAGGACACGCCACAGCAUAACAGACUGGGUGGAUGUUAAGUGGAAGGGAGGCGUUAUGGGCCACCCACUUCAAACGGAUGGAUGUAGCUGUGGUGUCGUUGUUGUGAAGAUGAGUGAUUUAAAAGAUGAGGAAGAGGACAAAUCUCCAGUCCCCAGCUAUCUGUCUCUGAAGAGUGACGGGUCUAUGUGGAACCCUCCAAACUUCAGU